Molecule: long non-coding RNA, 242 nt
Organism: Saccostrea cuccullata (small rock oyster)
Lineage: Eukaryota; Metazoa; Mollusca; Bivalvia; Ostreida; Ostreidae
Exons: 2
Source: RefSeq, a predicted model, not a curated record
AAUGCCAUUGUAAUUAAUCCGAAAAAAGUCAUCGAUUUUUUCAAUCUGUAAAGAAUGGAACAUGUGCGCUUAUGAAUCAAUAUUAAUAAUUCAUUAAGGGAAUAUACGUAGAUCGUCUAAAUUUUUCAAAAUACAGAAACAUUGUUCCCUGGCAUGGAGGCUAUAUGAUUUCCGUAAGAUAAUUCGCAUGAUCCCAUCUCUGAAAUUUCUGAGUUCCGUAUUUUCAGCCUUGUUCAAGAUUU